CGGCGGCAGUCUACACAUGCAGUCGAGCGGUAGAGAGAAGCUUGCUUCUCUUGAGAGCGGCGGACGGGUGAGUAAUGCCUAGGAAUCUGCCUGGUAGUGGGGGAUAACGUUCGGAAACGGACGCUAAUACCGCAUACGUCCUACGGGAGAAAGCAGGGGACCUUCGGGCCUUGCGCUAUCAGAUGAGCCUAGGUCGGAUUAGCUAGUUGGUGAGGUAAUGGCUCACCAAGGCGACGAUCCGUAACUGGUCUGAGAGGAUGAUCAGUCACACUGGAACUGAGACACGGUCCAGACUCCUACGGGAGGCAGCAGUGGGGAAUAUUGGACAAUGGGCGAAAGCCUGAUCCAGCCAUGCCGCGUGUGUGAAGAAGGUCUUCGGAUUGUAAAGCACUUUAAGUUGGGAGGAAGGGUUGUAGAUUAAUACUCUGCAAUUUUGACGUUACCGACAGAAUAAGCACCGGCUAACUCUGUGCCAGCAGCCGCGGUAAUACAGAGGGUGCAAGCGUUAAUCGGAAUUACUGGGCGUAAAGCGCGCGUAGGUGGUUUGUUAAGUUGGAUGUGAAAUCCCCGGGCUCAACCUGGGAACUGCAUUCAAAACUGACUGACUAGAGUAUGGUAGAGGGUGGUGGAAUUUCCUGUGUAGCGGUGAAAUGCGUAGAUAUAGGAAGGAACACCAGUGGCGAAGGCGACCACCUGGACUAAUACUGACACUGAGGUGCGAAAGCGUGGGGAGCAAACAGGAUUAGAUACCCUGGUAGUCCACGCCGUAAACGAUGUCAACUAGCCGUUGGAAGCCUUGAGCUUUUAGUGGCGCAGCUAACGCAUUAAGUUGACCGCCUGGGGAGUACGGCCGCAAGGUUAAAACUCAAAUGAAUUGACGGGGGCCCGCACAAGCGGUGGAGCAUGUGGUUUAAUUCGAAGCAACGCGAAGAACCCUUACCAGGCCUUGACAUCCAAUGAACUUUCUAGAGAUAGAUUGCUGCCCUUCGGGAACAUUGAAGACAGGUGCUGCAUGGCCUGUCGUCAG
Molecule: ribosomal RNA, 1027 nt
Filed under: Pseudomonas sp. BTN9
Lineage: Bacteria; Pseudomonadati; Pseudomonadota; Gammaproteobacteria; Pseudomonadales; Pseudomonadaceae
Description: bacterial SSU rRNA
Rfam family: Bacterial small subunit ribosomal RNA
Source: RNAcentral